Long non-coding RNA from Polypterus senegalus (gray bichir), 592 nucleotides. RefSeq lists it as uncharacterized. The record is from RefSeq and is a predicted model, not a curated record. Lineage: Eukaryota; Metazoa; Chordata; Cladistia; Polypteriformes; Polypteridae. The transcript is spliced from 4 exons.
UGUGGCACUUGGUGCCACUGCCCUACUACUAAGUUGUAUGGCUGCCUAAGGAAAAGUAAUCUCUGACGGAAGAGCACUGGAAUCAUCAGCUUCAAGAAGACACCCAGUGAGUGCACCUGACUCUGCCACUUCUGGUUUCCCAUCUAUAAGUCACAUGGUUGAUGUCACUCUGUGAGUAGUGUACCGCACAGGAUGGAGCACUUGAAGCAAGAUUGAUCGACUUGAAAGAACAAGAAGACUAUUGCCCGAUUUUGACUACUUUUUUUUGCAUUUAUCUCAGUACCUCCACACCAUUCAGUGCUUGUAAUUUUUAAUUUAUUUUGUUUGAGACCAGAAGACAAGCCCCACAACGAGCAUUGACAUCACUUCCUGGGCUUUAACCUGGAGGUCCUACCUCUUCUACAGCGCAGACAAUCUAAAGAAUAAAGACGUCAGAACUUGCUGUUCAUUACCAACCCCAACACCAAUGAAGAUGGAGUUCUGGAAGAGAUCAAGCUUGACAUACAGAAAGUAUACUGUGAGGUACAUUCCAUCCACUGUGGCAACCCCUAACGGAGGCAGCUGAAAGAAGAAGAAAAAGAAGGUACUAUAA